UACAGAGGGUGCAAGCGUUGUUCGGAAUUAUUGGGCGUAAAGCGCGUGUAGGUGGCUUACUAAGUCUGGUGUGAAAGCCCGGGGCUCAACCCCGGAAGUGCACUGGAUACUGGAAAGCUAGAGGGCGAGAGAGGAGAUUGGAAUUCAUGGUGUAGGGGUGAAAUCCGUAGAUAUCAUGAGGAACAUCUGUGGCGAAGGCGAAUCUCUGGCUCGUUUCUGACACUGAGACGCGAAAGCGUGGGGAGCAAACAGG
RNAcentral lists this ribosomal RNA (253 nucleotides) under uncultured bacterium. RNAcentral's name for it is "partial 16S ribosomal RNA". It matches the Rfam family "Bacterial small subunit ribosomal RNA", at positions 524 to 776 of the family's 1533-position model. The record is from RNAcentral.